Molecule: long non-coding RNA, 567 nt
Organism: Odocoileus virginianus texanus
Lineage: Eukaryota; Metazoa; Chordata; Mammalia; Artiodactyla; Cervidae
Source: RefSeq, a predicted model, not a curated record
GCCCCAGUGGCUUCGGCAUGAUCCACGGAUCCUCCAGUUACCAGGGAGGCCAAGGCGAGCCGUGUGACACGGGGUAGGCCGGAUCCUUGGGGUGUGGCUCUGCGAAUCGGUCAAUCAACAGACACAGGCAACUCCAGCUUCGAACGGGGCUCGGGGGCCUCGGGGCAGCGGGGGAAGGAGACCUGCUGAGCUUGCCGACUUGGACCCGAGUCACCACCUUGGCGUUCGCUGAAACCGCCUCUGAAACUCCGGAUGAAAGGAUACUCAGAUCGAAAAGACAAGUCAAACAACAGCCUCGGUGGGAUGAGGAUUGCGGCUGAUGGAGUUCCGGCUAACUGAAGCAUCCUGCGGAAGGCGGCUUUUGUCCCUGUCGCUCAGCACUGGUUUAACACUGUGUAAGAGAUGUGGGAUGACAUAUACAAGACGAGGUCCCUGCCCUUGAAGAGCCUCCAAUCUAGGAAGAUGGGUGAGAUCAAGACACACGUAAAGCACAGCGGGAAAACAGCAGGGCUCUAGACCAGAGCGUAAUCGCGAGCUUUCAGGGGAGAGGUCUUGCUGAGGGGAUCA